ACUCCUACGGGAGGCAGCAGUAAGGAAUAUUGCGCAAUGGGCGAAAGCCUGACGCAGCGACGCCGCGUGGGGGAUGAAGGUCUUCGGAUUGUAAACCCCUUUCGGGAGGGAAGAUGGGAUGGGGUAACCCAUUCGGACGGUACCUCCAGAAGCAGGCACGGCUAACUUCGUGCCAGCAGCCGCGGUAAU
Molecule: ribosomal RNA, 189 nt
Filed under: uncultured bacterium
Lineage: Bacteria
Description: partial 16S ribosomal RNA
Rfam family: Bacterial small subunit ribosomal RNA
Source: RNAcentral